GACGAACGCUGGCUGCAUGCUUAACACAUGCAAGUCGAACGUAGAUUUCCUGCUUUUGUGCGGUGCUCGAAUGGCCACCUGGUUAGUAACACGUUGUUUCCCUGCCCUUGACUUUAGUAUAGCUUCAGAAAUCUGGAGCUAAUACCUGAUACGAGCUCCUGCUGCAUGGUGUUCGUGCGAAAGUUUCGGCGGUUGGGGAUGGACGCGCGUCUUAUCCGCUCGUUGUUGGGGUAGUGUCUUACCAAGGCUUUGACGGGUAGCCGGCCUGAGAGGGUGAACGGCCAAAUUGGGACUGAGAUAAGGCCCAGACCCCUAAGGGAGGGAGGAGUGGGGAAAAUUGCAAAAUGGGCGGAAGCCUGAUGCAGCAAAGAAGCGUGGGGGAAGAAGGGCUUAGGGUUGUAAAAAGCUUUCGCCUGUGACGAAGCGUGAGUGACGGUAAUGGGUAAAGAAGCACCGGCUAACUACGUG
RNAcentral lists this ribosomal RNA (468 nucleotides) under uncultured bacterium. Its description in RNAcentral is "partial 16S ribosomal RNA". It matches the Rfam family "Bacterial small subunit ribosomal RNA", at positions 28 to 507 of the family's 1533-position model. The record is from RNAcentral.